GUUUAAUUUAAUAAUUACUAAAACCAGUAGUUCGAAAGAUAUAUUUAAAAAUAAAAGAUAAAAUUCCAAAAAAUUAAUUAUCUAUUAACGUGGAUUUGGACGACAAUAGGUUUUUAGUUUGUGAUGUUUCAUGUGAUGAUCAUCAUGUUCAUCGUCUUUGAAUUGACAUGAGGAUAUCUAUGGAAAAGUAACUAAUCUGAAAGUAAGCCAACAUAUCGUUUGUCCAUUGUGUGCUAACGAAAAGAUUUUCUUUUCGCAUCAUGAGGAAGUAUUACAUCAAUUGAAAAUUUUAGGAAGUUGAUCAUUUGUCAUGGAAAAGUAUACCAAUGGAAAUUGCUUGCAAUAGAAGUAAUUCUAAGGGCAAAUUUUAUUAUAAUUAGUGACCUGUCUACUGCUACCUUUUAUACGUAGAUGUUUCAGGUUUUAAGAAUAAAUUGGUUGAACCCAAAAUCUGGAGGAAGUACCUAUAUCCAUACACACAAUAUAUCAUUAAAAAUACUAGUCCAAAUUUGCUUUAAUGGAACGAUUAGGGCCCUAUAUAUUUGAAACUCAUGUUGGACAUAGUAUUGAGUUGGGUAGAAUAUUAUUCUACGUUAAGUGAGGGUAUCAGAUACCUAUUAUUGUACUGUAUUUUAAUAUAUACAUUAGAAUUGUUGGUUUUUUCAUAUUUGUUUUAUUUAUUAUUUUACUUACAAGUUAUAUAAAGUUAACACUAAAAUCUACUUUUUGACUUAUAUAAGUUAGUCUGUGGUUUAAUGCGUGAUUACAUCCACAUGAUUUCAAGUUUUUAAAAUAUAAAUAUUAUAACUGGCUUUAAAAACUCCAUUAAACUGUUAAAAGUGUAAUUUAUUUCAAAAUAAAUAUACAUAUAUAGGUAUAUAUUAAUAUCGAAAAACAUUUUUAUUCCUUAACACCAAUUUAAUCAUCACAUACAUAUGUAUAAACAUUUAUUUACGUUAUUUCAAAUGAAGACCACAGGAAAAACCAGCUUUGUUCAUUUUAACUGGAGCCGAGAAAAUGCAAUUACGAGUGAACUACUCUGGUUUUUCUCCUGUAGGG
Long non-coding RNA from Sitophilus oryzae (rice weevil), 1059 nucleotides. RefSeq lists it as uncharacterized. Lineage: Eukaryota; Metazoa; Arthropoda; Insecta; Coleoptera; Curculionidae. The record is from RefSeq and is a predicted model, not a curated record. The transcript is spliced from 3 exons.